This 411-nucleotide long non-coding RNA is filed under the name Linum usitatissimum (flax). RNAcentral's name for it is "long non-coding RNA (LUSI_LNC001471)". Lineage: Eukaryota; Viridiplantae; Streptophyta; Magnoliopsida; Malpighiales; Linaceae. The record is from RNAcentral.
AACUUCAAAGACAGGUGCUGAUGACAGUAGUAUUCAACUUUUUGCGACUGGCAAGGAUCAAGAAAAUGGAACAACGAUGAAAUCCGACAUUACUGCCGAAUUAUAUUUCACAGGCGCUAACCAAAAUUUGAUGCCUGCUGACGACUAUGCUGCGGGAUUGGAUUCAAGCGAGAUCAGCUCAUCAGACUUUGGAAUGUUUGACGAAGGUAGAGUUGCACAGUACCCAUCGAGAGGGAGUUCUAUUGCGAUUUCAUCCUCCGACAUUCCCCAAAAUCUGAGCUUGUCAAGCAUAUGCUCUCUUUCCAUCUCUGACAAAGAAGAGCACGAUGAGCUGCAGGUGGAGCUUGCUGCGAUCGAUAUGCAGUAUAAUAUGUAUCUCCAGGAACUGUCCAGGAUGAGGGAGGAAGCCAU